GACAGACCCCGUAGAGACUGAGAGAAAGAGAUGGUUCCUGCCCUUGAUGGGCUCACAGUCUAGUGAGGGCUGCCCACUGAUGCAUCUCCAGGGCUUGUACACUCGAUGACUAUUUGUUGAAUGAAAGAACAAAUGAAGACACUGCAUUAUAAUGUGGAACCUGAUCAACAUUAGGUGCCAGAGCAGAAGGACAAAGCCAGUGAGGAGUGAGAUGCCCAGAGGGCAAGGGAGAUGAGGAAGAGCAGGAGCUGAAGAAGUGGCCCAAGGAGAGGACCAGGAGAGGUAGAGUGACUUCUCUGAUCUGGAGCUGUGGGAAGAACAAACUGGGCAUGACUGAAUCACAUUCACCCUUCCUCCUCUUGGGGAUGAGCUGCCCUCAGGAAGCAGGUGUUCCUCUUGGUUCUUCUAGGGGAAGGCUUGACCCAUCAAACCCAACUGCCUGCAUCAGGUUGGAGAGGAGAAAACUGAAGUGGAGAGCAGUUAAGGAACAUGCUUGGGGUCCCGUGACCACUGAGUGGAUGAGUCAGAAGUCAACCCCUGCAUUAUCUGCCUCUGGGAGCUCAGCCCUGAGCACGUGGCUACCUGCAGCAAAGCAGAACUGCAUAGGAGCACAGAUGAGUUGAGACCAAGGAUGCUAAUUAGGCUUGGCUCCCUCAGCGUGAUAAAGCAAACUGACCAAUCUACUCUUUGGAAGCAGAAGAUGGGAAAGAGGCCACUUCUGAGAUGACUGUGCACCCAGAGACAGACUCUUGUUUCAUGUAACUUGUCUGUGAAAAUUCCUCUAGAUGAAUGCAGGAGGGAAUCUGGGCAAGUCCUAGAGCAGGAUAGAGAUGUUUGAAAAUCCUUUCAGAGUUAACUUAGACUAAGCAACGUAGAUGCCUCUCCCAUCCGCCCCAUUUCUGCAAAUUUCUGCCAAAAAAUAUGACCCUCUGUCUCACAGAAUUCUUAGUGUGCUGGAAGACUCCAGAAUGAUAUGCAGAGGAAGUAUUGCUGCUUCUCACAGCGGACCAUUCAGAACCUCAUGGACACUUUUCUUUUGAUUAUUUUCUUGUGGAAUUAUUUUUUUUUAUUAAUUUAAUUAUUUUUAUUGCAGUAACAUUGGUUUAUAACACUAUAUAAAUUUUGGGUGUACAUCAUUAUAUUCCGAUUUCUAUGUAGAUUACAUCAUGUUCACCACCCAAAGACUAAUUGCAAUCCAUCACCACACACACGUGUCUAAUCACCCCUUUUGUCCUUCUCCCUCUAAGACCGAUGUCAAAGAGUGUACAGCCUAUACUUUCUUCUAGGAGUUUUAUGGUUUCAGGUCUUACCAUCAAGUCUUCGAUCCAUUUUGAGUUAAUUUUUGUGUAUAGCCAAAGAUAAUGGUCUGCUUUCAUUCUUUUGUAUGUGGCUGUCCAGUUUUCCCAACAUCAUUUAUUGAAGAGACUUUCCUUUCUCCAUUGUAUUUUCUUAGCUCCUUUGUCAAAGAUUAGCUGUCUAUAGAUGUGUGGUUUUAUUUCUGGGCAUCCAAUUCUGUUCCAUUGAUCUGUGUGCCUGUUUUUGUAACAGUACAAUGCUGUUUUGAUUACUAUGGCUUUGCAGGAUAUUUUGAAGUCAGAGAUUGUGAUCCCUCCAGCUUCGUUCUUUUUUCUCAGGAUUGCUUUAGCUGUUUGGGGUCUUUUAUGGCCCC
Molecule: long non-coding RNA, 1669 nt
Organism: Equus caballus (horse)
Lineage: Eukaryota; Metazoa; Chordata; Mammalia; Perissodactyla; Equidae
Source: Ensembl